RNAcentral lists this ribosomal RNA (479 nucleotides) under uncultured organism. Its description in RNAcentral is "partial 16S ribosomal RNA". It matches the Rfam family "Bacterial small subunit ribosomal RNA", at positions 331 to 801 of the family's 1533-position model. The record is from RNAcentral.
GUACACUCCUGCGGGAGGCAGCAGUGGGGAAUAUUGCACAAUGGGCGCAAGCCUGAUGCAGCCAUGCCGCGUGUAUGAAGAAGGCCUUCGGGUUGUAAAGUACUUUCAGCGGGGAGGAAGGCGAUAAGGUUAAUAACCUUGUCGAUUGACGUUACCCGCAGAAGAAGCACCGGCUAACUCCGUGCCAGCAGCCGCGGUAAUACGGAGGGUGCAAGCGUUAAUCGGAAUUACUGGGCGUAAAGCGCACGCAGGCGGUCUGUCAAGUCGGAUGUGAAAUCCCCGGGCUCAACCUGGGAACUGCAUUCGAAACUGGCAGGCUAGAGUCUUGUAGAGGGGGGUAGAAUUCCAGGUGUAGCGGUGAAAUGCGUAGAGAUCUGGAGGAAUACCGGUGGCGAAGGCGGCCCCCUGGACAAAGACUGACGCUCAGGUGCGAAAGCGUGGGGAGCAAACAGGAUUAGAUACCCCGGUAGUCCCAUGAU